UAGCGGAAACGAGUUAACUGAACCUUCGGGGGACGUUAACGGCGUCGAGCGGCGGACGGGUGAGUAAUGCCUGGGAAAUUGCCCUGAUGUGGGGGAUAACCAUUGGAAACGAUGGCUAAUACCGCAUAAUAGCUUCGGCUCAAAGAGGGGGACCUUCGGGCCUCUCGCGUCAGGAUAUGCCCAGGUGGGAUUAGCUAGUUGGUGAGGUAAAGGCUCACCAAGGCGACGAUCCCUAGCUGGUCUGAGAGGAUGAUCAGCCACACUGGAACUGAGACACGGUCCAGACUCCUACGGGAGGCAGCAGUGGGGAAUAUUGCACAAUGGGCGCAAGCCUGAUGCAGCCAUGCCGCGUGUAUGAAGAAGGCCUUCGGGUUGUAAAGUACUUUCAGUCGUGAGGAAGGUGAUGUAGUUAAUAACUGCAUCA
This 424-nucleotide ribosomal RNA is filed under the name Vibrio sp. P12-25. RNAcentral's name for it is "bacterial SSU rRNA". It matches the Rfam family "Bacterial small subunit ribosomal RNA", at positions 49 to 474 of the family's 1533-position model. Lineage: Bacteria; Pseudomonadati; Pseudomonadota; Gammaproteobacteria; Vibrionales; Vibrionaceae. The record is from RNAcentral.